This is a long non-coding RNA of Hemicordylus capensis (graceful crag lizard), 5921 nucleotides long. RefSeq lists it as uncharacterized. The transcript is spliced from 4 exons. NCBI's taxonomy places the organism in Eukaryota, Metazoa, Chordata, Lepidosauria, Squamata, Cordylidae. The record is from RefSeq and is a predicted model, not a curated record.
UAGCAGCUUGGGGGUGAUCUAAGCCAGGGAACUGGUGUGGGGAUUUAAUCCCCUGUGCCCUCCACCCAGAUUGAGCCUGUUUAUGGCUGUAUUUGGGGAAAGAUCUGUGUUGUUUCAGUCAGGGAACUCCCAUGCUAUGUCUAGUUUGACUCUCUGCCUCCCAUGUAUUUGUUGAAGUCUACAUUCUGGCUGGCAGUAAUCCUUGCAAGCGAAGAAGCAACCCUCUCUAAGCAGGUAAAGUACAGAGAAGAGCAAAUCUGCCUCCUAGUGGUAGCCUUAGGGUACUACCAGGAUCAAUGGUAAACUGCACUUUGGCAUUCUUCCCUUGAAAUAGGAAUGCUGUUUUUGUUGUCCACCUGAAAUUGAUUAGGCUAUCAUGAGUUUUACCUUACUGGUGAUAUCUUAUGAAAACUCCCCACAACUAAACUGGCCCGUGUCACUUUCCAAGAAAAUAGCACUAAUUUUAAAUGUAGCAUAAAAGAGGAGUGCUGACACUUGUCACCAGAGCCAGAGGAAGCACUGGAAGUGUGGUCCUUAAUGUCUCGAAAGAGGGGUGCUGGGGGUUCAAGAUCAAUUCCCCUCCCAUAACAUGAGCUGUAUCUAAAUGGGUUGGGGAUUAUUCAGGGUCCAGGAUGAGACAAAAACAUUUUCAAAAUGCUUUUAGGCAUUCUGGUCUGUUUUGUGGGCACCAAAGUUCAGUUGGGGUAGUAUUGCAACAAGUUCUGGGGUUGAGCCUUGACUCCAGUUAAGUUCAUGGGACAGGGCCCAGGGAGCCCAAAUUUAGUGUCUGGGGUUGGCAAGCUUAGAGGGCGGCACCCCAAAGGUCACACUAUACUGGCACCCACAGACAGAAACUGGAAGAGGUCACCGGUCAGGCUUGAUGAGGCAGUAAACUAAAAGGUAUUGCUAAAAUACUGUGGAGAGCUUUGGACUGGACGUAGCCCCCGUGGAGGAUGCAGGUGUGUAGAUGGUGCAGGGCAGUUCUCCCACUGACAGGAGAGGAGGCUUUGAUGCCAGGGGCUGGGGGAGGAGGCGGGCCGCAGCCCAAGAAGCAGAGUUCCUUUCCCAUGGCCUGCGGUAGCUUUCUUUACACACCCUCCAUCUCUUCCCCUGACAUAUUUUGCAUUUCUCUCUCUCUCUAUCUUAUCUUGUUCUUGCUCCCUCCCUUCACUCCUCUGUUCCCAGCUGGCCCCAUUGUUUUCUGGUUCUCAGCCCUGGGCCUCAGCUGGUUCUCCACCUGCGCCCCCACCAGCCAUCCUGCUGAAGGAGGAGAUGGCAGGUCUCCUUGAUAACAGGCAGACAAAACAAAGACCUUCUGUGCUGUGAUGAGGCAACUGGAACUGACCACUGUUGGAAACAGAAUCCUGGGCUAAGGAUAGUCACAGCCUAAAGUUACCAUCAAAACAAAGUUCUCUCUGGAACACUAGCAUUCCUAGGCACAAUGUUUGGAUGUCCCUGCUUUACACUUAUGGAAGAAAAUGUGGUAUGGAUGCGUCAUCACGAAGCAACUUCCUUCUGGUAGGGUCAGCCACUGUCUGGAUUUCUAUCCUCUCCCUCCGCUCCCUGCAAAUGAAAGAACAGGAUCUGCUGUUUACUGUCUUCCACAAAUCCCCUCUUUUGGACAGAAACGCUACUGGUUACAAAAUAGACUGGAAGGCUGCCAAGGACACGGAGUGCUAAGUUAAAUGGCAGGCAAGGACAAGAGCUGGGCCAGGUCUGGUGCAGUGCUUGAGUGGAAAGGGGGGCCAGGGAGCAUUCCAGUAUGUUGGGGUCCCCUUAGGCACCCCAAAGUGUGCAGUGUGGCUUAGGCAGGUUGGGAAUUGCUCUGAUUUCUUGGGAACUUUGUCAUAUUGUAUGUGAGACUUAAAGCGUUCCUGGGUGAAAGAGGUGAGGGGGAAGGCAUCUGUAUAGACUGUACUCCGCUCCCAUUGCUCUAUUGUUCUAAGAGCCUAGGUGGUAUUCAAACAUCUUUGUGUUUUUGAAUGCCAUAUGCCUCCCUUGAAAAUGCAAACACUUCCCAGAAAUGUCAGUUCCAUAAUCUCUUCUGGAUUUGUCUGUCUAUCUCAGAUAGAUGGACAGAAGUUUGAUAACAGAUAAUAGUCUCCAUGGGACUGAAGCAACUUAAUUGUGUAGCCUACCUCAUCCUUGGUGAGGGGAGGAUUACGAGAUAAAUUACACAUAAAAUAGCAAAGCCAAAAUCAUAUUAGACAGAAUGUACACUACAGCCUGAUUUCCAAUUAAAAGCUUAACCCUAGCCACCAAAACCUAACAUUUAACUGCCAGAAAAGCUGGUCUUAUCAGCUUCUGUAUUUUGCGCUCUGCCCUAUAGAUGUAUUGUGGAGCUGAAAUCAACUUUUGCACAACUUCAAAUUCAGUUUGCCUUUGGAUGGUGACUAUAUGUAAGCACAGUAAGGUAUUCCACUUAGAGGAUGGGACCAUAGCUCAGUAGAAGAGCAGAAGGUCCCAGGUUCACUCCCUAGCAUCUCCAGGUAGGGCGGGGAGAGCCUCCUGCCUGAAACCUUGGAGAGCUGCUGCCAGUCAGUGUAGACAAGACUGAGCUAGAUGGACCAAUGGUCUGACUCAUGUAAGAUUCAUUCCAUUGUCCUGUCAUUGCCAUAAGAACCUAUGAAUUACCUUGUUAGAUCAUUCAGUCUACUCCAGCAGCAUUCUGGUUCUGAUAGUGAAUUAGUCAGAUCUCCAUGGAAGCUCAGAGCAUCUUAUUUUUGGUUUAAAAUAUGUGUUCUUACUGUAUGCAUUAUUAUUAUUAUUAUUAUUUAUUUAUGUAUUUAUUGUUAUUUCUUGUUUACACAGUCAGACAGGUGUUAUUGACUGGUUUGUUUUAUCCAGACAUCGAGUCCUUCCCAAGGACCUGGGAUGGCUGAAUUUUAUUAUCAACAUUGCUGUUGUUGUUGUUGUUAUAGAUAUCGUCGCAGAAUAUAGGCUGUUCCCAGUAAAGCUGCUUUUUGUAAUUGGCUGAUGGUGAUUUCUGUGGCCCCUAUGGUGUUGAGGUGCUCUUCAAGGUGUUUUGGAAUUGCACCUAGGGCGAAAAUUACUACUGAGAUUUUUUUAGUCUUCUUCUGCCACAGCCUUUCUAUUUCAAUUUGUAGAUCUUUGUAUUUUGUGAUUUUUUUUCUGUUUCUUUUUCUUCUAUUCUGCUAUCCCCUGGUAUUGCUAUGUCGAUUAUUUUAACUUGUUUUUCUUUCUUCUCGACUACAGUUAUAUCUGGUGUAUUGUGUGGCAGAUGUUUGUCUGUCUGUAGUCGGAAGUCCCAUAAUAUUUUUGCAUCUUCAUUUUCUACAACUUUUUCAAUUUUAUGGUCCCACCAAUUUUUGGCUACAAGUAGCUUGUAUUUUUUGCAGACGUUCCAGUGCAUCAUCCCUGCCUCCUUGUCAUGCCUUUGUUUGUUGUCAGUCUGUGCAAUCUUUUUACAACUGAUUAGGUGUUCCCUUGUUUCAUCUGCUUCUUUACAAAGGUGGCACUUGCUGUUUGUUGUGGAUUUUUCGACUUUUGCUCUUAUUGCAUUUGUUCUUAGUGCCUAUUCUUGCGCAGCCAGUAUUAAACCCUCUGUUUCUUUCUUCAAGUAACCAUUCUUAAGCCAUUGCCAGGUCUUGGUGAUGUCUGAUUUUCCAGUUAUAUUGUGCAAAUAUUGACCAUGCAGUGGCUUAUUUUUCCAUUUUUCUGCUCUGUUCUUGACUUGUUCUUUCCUGUAGGCCUGCUUUGUUUCAUUGGUGUUGAAUAGUUUUGCGUUAUUGACCAUUUUAAGUGCAUCUUCCUCACUGUCCUUGAUAUAUUCUUCAAGGCCUCUUUUCUCCUCCUCUACUGCUUGAUAGACUUGCAGCAUUCCUCUUCCACCUGAGCUGCGAGGGAGGUAUAGCCUAUCUACAUCACUGUGGGGGUGCAGAGCAUGGUUGAUGGUCAUUAUUUUCCUGGUCUUACGAUCUAACGUCUCUAUCUCUGCCUGGGUCCAGUCUAUUAUUCCUGCAGUGUAUCUGAAAACAGGUAUAGCCCAGGUGUUUAUGGCUUGUAUGGUGUUCCCGCCAUUGAGUUUGGACUUGAGGAUUUUUCUAACUCUCCUGAUGUAUUCACUUCCCAUUUUUCUUUUAACUUCAGUGUGUGUGAUGGAGAAUGCCCAAGUAUUUGUAAUGUUCUUUCUCUUCCAGGUUCUUGAUCUUGCUUCCAUUGGGCACGCAGUUCUAUUCCUUCUGUUUUUCUUAUUUUCCCUCUGUUCAUUAUUAAUGCAGCACACUUGUCUAGUCCAAACUCCAUUGCUAUAUCAUUUCUGAAUAUACGGACAGUGUUUAGCAGUGAUUCAGUUUCUGACUGGGACUUUCCAUACAACUUCAGAUCGUCCAUGUACAGCAGAUGGUUGAUUUAACUUGAUGUUUUAGAUGUUUGGUAUCCGAGGCCUGUUUUGUUUAGAAUUUGUGAAAGUGGGGUCAUGGCAAUUACAAACAAUAGAGGGGAUAGUGAGUCCCCUUGGAAAAUGCCUCUUCUAAUGCUAACCUGUCCAAGUGUCUCGCCAUUGAUUGUUAACUGUGUACUCUACGUGCGCAUUGCUUUUUUUCUAAAUAUCUGAAUGUUUUUGUUGACACCAGUUGUUUCUAAACAUUGUAGUAGUAGUAGUAGUAGUAGUAGUAGUAGUAGUAGUUUUAUUAUUUAAAAUGUUUAUCUGGCAAAAUAACAUAACUUGACUAAGGUACAAGAGGAAAAGGUACUGCUACAUUGGACGUUGUAAAAAGAGCUUAUGAUUGUAUUUGAAAUAUUCUUUUGACUGUAAGGAAGCCACAAUAAUUGGACUAGGUAAUUAUGAUCCCUGCUAACUGAGCUAAGAGGCACUUCUAUUUAAAAGUGAUGAUUAUCUUUAUUUAGCAGGAGGCAAGCAACUGGCCCUAUCCAUCCCCAGCACAGCAUCCCUCCAGUGGUUGUUGCUGAUGUCUGUUUUAUGUUUCUUUUUUAGAUUGUGAGCCCUUUGGGGACUGGCAGCCAUUAUUUAUUUAUUUAUUUAUUUAAUAUCUAUGUCAACUGCUUUAGGAACUUUUUUUGAAAAGCGGUAUAUAAGUAUUCAUUGUAUUGUAUUAUAUUGCAAUACUGGGGCAAAGCAAAUCCAGGUCCACUCAGUCCUAGUGCAAAAGUGUGUGUAUGGGGAGGGAGGGGAGCCUUCAUUGUUGUUAAUCACCAGGGGGCAGCAUGAGCCCUCUGCAUCUGAAAGGGGUGGAGCUACAGCCCAGUGGGAAAGGGUGGCCGGAGAAACACGGCGGCUGAUGUAGAAGGCGGAUUCUCAGGUAGAUUUGGAACACUUGGUGCUUGUGGGCUGCAGAGAGAGAGAGUUGUAGAAAGCCGCAGAGUGGGCUCAGAGACACGGUGGAGAGUAGCCAACCUGCAGAAAGCAGUCAGCAACCUGAAAUAGCAGGGGACUUCUGACACCACCAUUCUUCUUCUGCGCAUAUAUAUAAUAAUGUCAUAAUUGCGGUUUGGUGGUGCAACAUGGCAAUUAUAUUGUGCAAUAUGCAUACAAGAAUGACGGGUGUAGGAUGUGGAGCUCCAGUGGAGGCCUGACUUCGGGAGCAAGAGGCACCAGUUAUGAAGCCAUAACAGGCUGCAAGGUAAGAGACGUGCCUCUCUGUGUCAAGAGACAAAGCGGUUCUGGGGAAGUGCACAAAGUCAUUUCACAUCUUUGUGGAGAGUGCAAGUUUUAAAACAGAAAGCAGCAUUUGGAAGUUCAAACCAUAGACAAGCCAAUGAGGGAUUAGGCUUGGGGGACUUAACAGAGAGGGGGAUCAAACUCUGGGAUGGAAUGCUGAGGGUGGGAGCAGAUUCCCCGCACCCACCCCACCUAUAAGAAGCCCUGGCACCCAUUUGGCAAACACAGUGGAAUGGACUUAACUGGGCAAAGUUAUUUGUUAAAUAAAUAAAUAAAUAAA